CUUCUGUGAUUACAAAGUUUUGUGCACGCCUAAAUCUGCUCAACAACUUUGAUAGAUACAUAAUUACUCCUAGAGUUGUCUUGCACAAAAGAUUUUACAUUCAGGGCCAAUAUCUUAAGGGAGGAGCAAAUAACUCAGUGUUUCUAAAAGUUUAUAAUACCCAUGAAACAAUUUUGUUGCCCUUUGAAGAACUGAAAAUAUAUAGUGGCAACCCAUUACUCCCUAUGUGCAAAAGACAUAUGAGGCAUGCAGGACCAACCACACGUGCAAGAGCACGAGCUGCAGGUGAUGAUGAUGACAGUGACUAUGAGGGAAGUUUUAGCGGGAUGCAGACGUCCUAGUCGGGACGCAGGUCUGGUGCCCACAGUGGCCGCAUGUCUUGUUCUUCUUUGCAGGAUUCACAGCCCCGUACUCAACGCAUUGACAUGGACAUGCUGACCCAACAAAUUGGUGUGCUGCGCAUUGGACAUGAGGCCAUGCAAAACACUACAACUUAAACCCAGCAAGCCCUCCUAGAUCUCCAAGUCCAACAAAACAUAGGCUGGAAUAGGAUGUAUGCACACCACCAGAGGCCACUACCACCAAAGAUUCCUUUCAUUCCUAUGCCACCACAGUGGCAGCAAGACCAUCUCCACAGUAUCCUCCACCAUAUCCUCAGCAGCCCUCAUAUCCUCCACCAUAUCCAUAUAACUAUCCACCAUAUCAGUGAGGAGGCAUGAGAAGAGAUAAGCUUGGGGGAGAUCCUCUCCCCCACCAAGGUAAGCAUUCUGGCCCUUUUAAAUUUAUUGCAAUUUCAGUUGUUCUAUGCUUCAUGUAAAAAAAAUAAAAAUAAAAUAAAAAUAAAAAUAAAAUUUGCCAUGCAUGCCAUCUUUCUCUUAGAAAUGAUGAAUAGUUGCUUUGUUAAUAUUUUUCUAGUAUCUAGCACUCAACUUAGUAUUUUUCUAAGUAUGGAUCACUUGGCUCACAUAAGACAACCAUGAACCUGAUUUCUUUCUAUGGGUUGCAAGUGCUAAAACUACGUCUAAGUUGUUGUGAGAUAUGAGAUAGUAAGACAAGAACUGCUAUAUUUUUUUUUCUAAGCUUGCAGGAUUAUUGGAGAAUUUAUUUGGAAAAUAUCUAAAAACAAUGGUUCCUCAAUGAUUAUAAAAUUCCUACCAAGGCCAAAUAUUUAUCCUCUGCCAUAGCUGCUUGUCAUUGUUGGGGUUUGUCAAGGAUUGAACUUAACUUAGAUUGGAGUCAUAUGUUUAGACUGAGACACACUUUGCACCCACCAAAUAAAGCCAAUUCUUACACUGAGGAUUGCGCGCAACAUGCAACCUUCCAUCCACC
RNAcentral lists this long non-coding RNA (1329 nucleotides) under Sorghum bicolor (sorghum). RNAcentral describes it as "long non-coding RNA (SBIC_LNC010150)". Lineage: Eukaryota; Viridiplantae; Streptophyta; Magnoliopsida; Poales; Poaceae. The record is from RNAcentral.